Molecule: ribosomal RNA, 259 nt
Filed under: uncultured Cryptobacterium sp.
Lineage: Bacteria; Bacillati; Actinomycetota; Coriobacteriia; Eggerthellales; Eggerthellaceae
Description: partial 16S ribosomal RNA
Rfam family: Bacterial small subunit ribosomal RNA
Source: RNAcentral
GGCGAACGGGUGAGUAACACGUGACCAACCUGCCUCUUACAUUGGGACAACCAAAAGAAAUUCUGGCUAAUACCAAAUACUCCGCACAUAUCACAUGAUGUAUGCGGGAAAGCUUUUGCGGUAAGAGAUGGGGUCGCGGCCCAUUAGGUAGACGGCGGGGUAGAAGCCCACCGUGCCGAUGAUGGGUAGCCGGGUUGAGAGACCGACCGGCCACAUUGGGACUGAGAUACGGCCCAGACUCCUACGGGAGGCAGCAGUG